Cornus florida is the source of this 2929-nucleotide RNA transcript. RefSeq lists it as uncharacterized. The transcript has 2 exons. The record is from RefSeq and is a predicted model, not a curated record. Lineage: Eukaryota; Viridiplantae; Streptophyta; Magnoliopsida; Cornales; Cornaceae.
UCCAAAAGUCUAGUGAAGAUACAAGAUUUCGUUUCUUCUCUCUCUCUCUCUCUCUCUCUAUCUAGCAUUCUCCCCUCACUUUCCACCUGUAAUGGUCUAUUUAUAGGCCAUCAUCCUUAUUGCUGUUAACCAAUUACAUUGGGCCUAUAUUCGAAAGCUCUUUUCCUUCUGGGCUCGAUCUUCCAAUGGGAUUGACCUUCCUCGGUGGAUCCCCCAGGUUCGGCCCAUUCUAGGGCGCUUUGGCAUGGAUCCUACUUCAAUCAUUCGACCCGAUCUCGUUCCCACGAACCAUAUCCGGCCCAUGCCACUUGCCGCAUCCUCAACUGCCCCUAUAAUUACCCCUUAUUGAUUAGGGGGUAAUUAUUAGAGGCUGCUAAUGAUGACCUGACGGCUCGAGGAGAUCGUGUGGGAGAAUGGACGGUUAGAUCUAGGGGUCGGCGUUUCGAGAUUCAAAAAGACAACCCAUCGCUUUCCUGACUCCUCGGCCCUUGGGCUCACCUCGUCUUUAUAAGCUCCAUUGAUUCUCCAUCGAUCCUCUUUACCGUCUCCAUCUCACCUUUUGCUGUUUGAAUCCUCUCCGGCGAUCUCUUGCGAAAGAUCUUCCUUCCAGUGGCUUUGCAAUACUUUCUGCCGUUUUCACUCUCUAAGGUUAGUUUCAUUUGCAUUUUUCUUUUGGAAGACUUCUUUCUUCUCCCCGGAAUCCUCAUUCACUCUCACCAUGACAGUAGAUCUAGACGUUCUUCGCAUGAAACUUCACCUUCCUGACGAUGUAGAAAUUAGAAACUGCCCCCGAGAAGUGAAUAUUAGAACCGGUGCUGGCCUUCUUCCCGGCGAGGUCCCGUUUUCACUCCUCCAUCUCAAUCUCCUUAGAUUUCCUUUACAUCAUUUCUUUUGCUAUGUUUUUAACAAGCUAAAUCUUUCCCUUUUACAAGUAAACCCCAAUUUCCUUAGGAUUUUAUCUGUUAUGCUACUUCUGAUUCGUGACAGAGGUCUGGAUCUGGACCUCGUAGAUUUUCUCCUCUGUUACAAGGUCAGCAAGAUCAGAACUGACGAACCGUUUUACCACUUUUUCCCCAUUGAGAAGAGGUCCUUCUGCACGGAUAAAAUCAAAUCCGAGAAGGGUUGGAGGAAAAACAUUAUUGGGGUUAGGGGAGCCUGGUUCUCUCUAGCUGCGGAGGAUUUCGCUAUCCCGAACGCUUUCGGAGAGUGCUCUGUCUCUUUUUACAAGAAAUAUAAAAACCAUAAGAGUGACUGUCCUUGCGAGAUUUGUAUUCCUCGUUUUUGUACUUUCUUGUGCCAUUCCUUAGGCAUUCCUUGUGAUGACUUGAGCUACAGUGUGUGCAGGGAUAGGGAUAACUACCUGAAGCGGUACGUUCUAACCAACGUUCCCUCUUGCUCGGACCUUCUCAACUCAGACAAUCUCCUCGAUAUCUCAGUCCUCGGCAAGACAAUGAGCCAACUCCAGAUCCCUUCCUUCGGCAGGAAGAAAACUGCCCCCAGGCCUGCUAUCACCCCUGCAUCAAAUUCCUCACCGGCUUCAGCAUCUUCCUCCGCUACCCUUUCUGAUACCACUCCUUCCACCGAUCCAUCCGUGACGGCUGCUGACCCGGUCGCUAACACGACGACUGCUAGUCCGAACGUUACCCCCUCUGUCAACAAUCCUCCUAGUUCUACUACUGUUUCUGCACGGGAAAAGGCCAGAGGAAAAAGGCAUCAACCUGACAGUGCCCUCAGCAUAGAUGACGUUCCCUUGUCUUAGAGGGUUAGGCCCUCUGGGCCGAAUGUGAUAUCCCUGACGAGACCUCCUCAAGCUAGGCCCCCCACCCCUUCUGGGCAUGCCUCCGCUUCAGGAACGGCGCCAUGGAGCCCUCGCUUCAUUUGAACAGACGGAUCGUCUGUAAAACCGACCGAGACCAUGUUCAAAGAUGGUCAGACCGCAAUGGCUUACUACAGAAGUAUGUGGACUCCCAAGGACAUCGAGGUAGCCAAAGGUCUGUCUCAGAGGGAGGUGUUCAGUCGAUUUCCCUUGUCCGCCAUGGAGACCUUGUACGGGAUGAUGGCUAUGCAGAAACAAGUUGAUCAUGUGAAUGCCAAGGUCCGCACGCUUUCUGAUAGCCUUAAUGCAGCGAACAAGGAGAACGAUGAUUUGGCUGCUCAGAAGACCGGGUUGAUGGUUCAACUUGGCAAAAUUGAAAAAAGAGAGGGAUUCGCUGAGGAAGGAGACUGACUCUCUUCAGGAUGAGAGGAAUGCUCUGCAGCUUGAAAAGAGCGUCUGGCAGACCGAGCGGGAAUCCCUUAAGGCCGAGAAGGAAGAACUGCUACGCCUUCUGAGUGAAGAGUAAUCCGCUCGGAUGGCCUUUGAGAAAAGGGCCUUGGACGAGCGCAACGCUUUACUUGAUACCAUCAGCAGGGUAAAUGGUGGUAUGCUAGCUCUGCAUGCUCGGUUCUCUAGAGUUGGAGCCCUCAGAUAUGCUCAGGGGUUCCGAGAGGGUUACGCCGAUCGCGUUCCGGAUGAGGGUCAGACUGUUUCUACCCCUGAUAAUGUUGAUAAAGAACUGGAUAUUGACCCUCCUGGUGUUUAUACAGAUCCAGACUCCACCGCUGCCGAGGGCAUAUUUGAUGAAUGUCAGGAGAUUGCGUCCUCUCGAAUCACUCCUACUCCUCCUGCUGCUCUGACUUUGGACAUUUUUCCUCUGUCCACUUUGACUCCAUCUACUGCUACUGCUGAAGAUAACCCUCAGCAGAAUGAUUCUUCCGACGCUGUUGAGGGUAGGACUCAACAGAACGAUUCUGUCAUUCACCUCGACUCUCCACCUCGUGAGGACGACGACACCACCAAUAAUGAGGAGGCAGCCCAACAUCAUCAAGAGGCCGACGAGGCAAACGCCUCUUAGUUAGAACUUUUUUUUUUUUUUUUUUUUUUUUAAAU